GACGGAGGAUGCAAGCGUUAUCCGGAAUGAUUGGGCGUAAAGCGUCCGCAGGCGGCAGUUCAAGUCUGCUGUCAAAGACCGGGGCUUAACUUCGGAAAGGCAGUGGAAACUGAACAGCUAGAGUAUGGUAGGGGCAGAGGGAAUUCCUGGUGUAGCGGUGAAAUGCGUAGAGAUCAGGAAGAACACCGGUGGCGAAGGCGGCAUCCUGGACCAAUACUGACGCUGAGGAGCGAAAGCCAGGGGAGCAAACGGG
This 253-nucleotide ribosomal RNA is filed under the name uncultured bacterium. Its description in RNAcentral is "partial 16S ribosomal RNA". It matches the Rfam family "Bacterial small subunit ribosomal RNA", at positions 524 to 776 of the family's 1533-position model. The record is from RNAcentral.